AAAUUAUGAUGUGGACAUCUUUUUAAAAACUCUACAAAUCGUUCUUACGCUUCAAAUAGGGAUUCAAACUUAUAUUACUAAAACUGGAAAUCAUUGCCACAAGCUU
Abrus precatorius (Indian licorice) is the source of this 106-nucleotide small nucleolar RNA. NCBI's taxonomy places the organism in Eukaryota, Viridiplantae, Streptophyta, Magnoliopsida, Fabales, Fabaceae. The record is from RefSeq and is a predicted model, not a curated record.